UACGAAGGGGGCUAGCGUUGUUCGGACUUACUGGGCGUAAAGCGCACGUAGGCGGAUCGUUAAGUCGGGGGUGAAAUCCUGGAGCUCAACUCCAGAACUGCCUUCGAUACUGGCGAUCUUGAGUCCGGAAGAGGUGAGUGGAACUCCUAGUGUAGAGGUGGAAUUCGUAGAUAUUAGGAAGAACACCAGUGGCGAAGGCGGCUCACUGGUCCGGUACUGACGCUGAGGAACGAAAGCUAGGGUAGCGAACGGG
RNAcentral lists this ribosomal RNA (253 nucleotides) under uncultured bacterium. Its description in RNAcentral is "partial 16S ribosomal RNA". It matches the Rfam family "Bacterial small subunit ribosomal RNA", at positions 524 to 776 of the family's 1533-position model. The record is from RNAcentral.